GACGAACGCUGGUGGCGUGCUUAACACAUGCAAGUCGAACGGAAAGGCCCUGCUUUUGUGGGGUGCUCGAGUGGCGAACGGGUGAGUAACACGUGAGUAACCUGCCCUUGACUUUGGGAUAACUUCAGGAAACUGGGGCUAAUACCGGAUAGGAGCUCCUGCUGCAUGGUGGGGGUUGGAAAGUUUCGGCGGUUGGGGAUGGACUCGCGGCUUAUCAGCUUGUUGGUGGGGUAGUGGCUUACCAAGGCUUUGACGGGUAGCCGGCCUGAGAGGGUGACCGGCCACAUUGGGACUGAGAUACGGCCCAGACUCCUACGGGAGGCAGCAGUGGGGAAUAUUGCACAAUGGGCGGAAGCCUGAUGCAGCAACGCCGCGUGCGGGAUGACGGCCUUCGGGUUGUAAACCGCCUUCGCCUGUGACGAAGCGUGAGUGACGGUAAUGGGUAAAGAAGCACCGGCUAACUACGUG
RNAcentral lists this ribosomal RNA (468 nucleotides) under uncultured bacterium. Its description in RNAcentral is "partial 16S ribosomal RNA". It matches the Rfam family "Bacterial small subunit ribosomal RNA", at positions 28 to 507 of the family's 1533-position model. The record is from RNAcentral.